GGAGGGUAUAGCUCAAGUGGUAGAGCACAUGCUUAACAUGCAUGAGGUCCUGGGUUCAAUCCCCAGUACCUCCA
RNAcentral lists this transfer RNA (74 nucleotides) under Vicugna pacos (alpaca). RNAcentral describes it as "tRNA-Val (AAC) (tRNA-Val-AAC-41-1)". It matches the Rfam family "tRNA". From Rfam's summary of the family: Transfer RNA (tRNA) molecules are approximately 80 nucleotides in length. Their secondary structure includes four short double-helical elements and three loops (D, anti-codon, and T loops). Further hydrogen bonds mediate the characteristic L-shaped molecular structure. tRNAs have two regions of fundamental functional importance: the anti-codon, which is responsible for specific mRNA codon recognition, and the 3' end, to which the tRNAs corresponding amino acid is attached (by aminoacyl-tRNA synthetases). tRNAs cope with the degeneracy of the genetic code in two manners: having more than one tRNA (with a specific anti-codon) for a particular amino acid; and 'wobble' base-pairing, i.e. permitting non-standard base-pairing at the 3rd anti-codon position. The record is from RNAcentral. Lineage: Eukaryota; Metazoa; Chordata; Mammalia; Artiodactyla; Camelidae.